Long non-coding RNA from Neofelis nebulosa (Clouded leopard), 5993 nucleotides. RefSeq lists it as uncharacterized. The transcript has 2 exons. Lineage: Eukaryota; Metazoa; Chordata; Mammalia; Carnivora; Felidae. The record is from RefSeq and is a predicted model, not a curated record.
CGACCCGCAGGGCUGCGGCCGGGCCGGGGGGCGACUCCAGCCGCAACCCUGGGCUUGCCCCUUCCUGGGACAAUGAGGAUGCAGUGCAGACUUAAGCGUUUCGACCCGACUGGGUGUCAGCGUCGCGGGGACACUGGGUGCCCCUAGAGUGUCCGAGUCCUCUCAAGCUUGGGGGUCUGCGGGCCACACACUCGUGGACGCGGCUGUCUGUGCCACCGGGGGCUGGGCUUGGUCGCAGUUGUGUGUGGACGCUGAUGGACACCUUCACGGUAGCUGCCGGUGGGCUGCCCUCCUCCAGGCUGGCCACCGGGCUCUCCCCAUCCGCUGGCACCCCUGAAGUUGGCCUAACCCCAGCGCACUCACAUCCUAGCUCUGAUUCACUGGGCAUGCGGUCCUGGUUCUCCGAUCGCGCCCAGCUGGUGGGGAGGGUCUGGCAGGGUCAGGAUGCGGAACUGGUGGGGGGAGGCAGGUAGGCCUGAGGCCCGGAGAGGUUUGAAAAGUGCCCACAGCGCCUGUGAAGGGGCAGCGGGAGAAGAUGGGAGAGAAGGGGGAGAUGUUAAAUAUUUCUUGAAACGCGGUCUUUCUGUGGCCUGGGAUUUUGCAGUGGCCCCUGCUCCACCCUCCACCCUGAGGUGGUGGUUUUCCUCUCCAGCCCCAGGUCCAGCCCUCUCCCCUUGGGACCCCCCCCCCGCCCCACAGGCCCCCUCCUGGGCUCUGUGAGGAAGCCCCAUUGCUCUCAUACAUGACCUUUCCCUUCACACUUGCUUGUUCUGCUCCUCUGCUCCUUCUCCACCUGCCGAGCUCCUACUCACCCUUCAAGACCCCGGUCAAGUAUCCUCUCCUCUGGAAGGUGCCUCCAACCACGUAUCCCCCCUUCCCGGGCACCCCUUACCCCUCCUGAGUGUGAGUGGAGGGGAUUUGUUUCCUCUCGACCAUUCCUUUCUUCCAUCCCCAAAGUUCCAGUUUGGUUUAUAGACCUAUGUCCCCCACUGGCUCGGUUUUCUUAUCAUGGCCCACGGUGAGACAUUUCUAUUUUGUGAUCCAGUGGCCCACACGUGUGUUUAAACAGCUCCAGGGGCGCCUGGAGUCUGUUAAGCGUCCGACUUCGGCUCAGGUCAUGAUCUCACGGUUCGUGGGUUCGAGUCCCGUGUCGGGCCCUGUGCUGACAGCUCGGAGCCUGGAACCUGCUUCGGAUCCUGUGUCUCCCCCUCUCUCUCUCCCUCCCCUGCUCACACUGUCUCUCUCUCAAAAAUAAAUAAACAUUUUUAAAAAAUUCAACAACUCUAGAAGCUUCCAGAAUAGUACUCCGGACCACACAGUCUGAUAGGUUUUGUUGUUUCACUGCAUCAAGAUGCUGCUACCUUCUCAGCCGGUUGAGCAUCUGGCUCAGGUCAUGAUCUCACGGUUCGUGAGUUCGAGCCCCGCGUUGGGCUCUGUGCUGACAGCUCGGAGCCUGGAGCCUGCUUCGGAUUCUGUGUCUCCCUCUCGUUUCUGCCCCCGCCCGCCCCCCCCCCCGCUCUCUCUCUCUCUCUCAAAAAUAAAUAAACACUUAAAAAAUUUAAGAAAAAGACGCUGCCACCUUGCCACUACAGGUACAGAGCCCUGAGGAGAGUGAGGAUGGGGCUGUGUCCUCAGGGACACCUACCUGGGUGGCAGGGCCAGGGGAAGCCCCUGAACACCUGCUGUGUUUGUUUGCAGGCCCUUGUUUGGGGGUCUGGUGGGGAUCCCAAUCUUGCUCUCCAUCCUGAGCAUCCCCCUCCCGGCUGCAGCCCCGGGCCUCCCCACAGGGGUCAGAGCUGCAGCCGGUGGCCUGGCGCCACCUGCCGGGAUGCUGCUGGGGUUGCCACAGAGCUGGCUGCCCAGAUUGGGGUGGGGAGAGCUGGCAGAAAGGGUCUGAGUCCGUUGGAGGCUUCAGGGCAGGGCCACAAACCAGGGCGCCCCAGACCGAGCCUAACCAUUUCUGUGUCGUCUGUGGCCGCUUUCCAGCUGCCGCGGCAGAACCGAGCAGCCCCCCGAGAAGAGAGCCAACGGCCCACAAACCUGAGGACCACUACUCGUCGGCCUCUGUGAGGUUUGUUGAGCCCUGCUCCCCAGUUUAAACACGGGGAGGACGGCUGCCGUUCUCGGGUCGUGUUUUGACUUCCCAGGCCUUGGCAGGGGUCAAGCGUGACUUCAGGCUCACAGUAACAGCGAUGUCAUUUGCCGUGUGUCCUUCAGGGGGAAGGCUUCGUCUUGGGGAUUCCAGGGAGAUCGCGCCUCCCGUGGUCCAGUCAGAGGCCUGAGCAAGCCCCCCAGCUCACAGAGGGGCUCGACGGCCCCGGUCCCUCGCACACAGACGUGGGCUGGGACUCCGCCCCUUGGCUCCGGCUGCCUUAUGACCAGAUCCGAGCCCCAGGGACCCCACUUCCGGGGAUGGGUCAGAGGCUGUGCGGCUUCCACCUCAAUGUCCUGACGCCCCCUCCCCGCACCCACCUGCUGUGCUGGUGGACAGUGGGUCACAUGGGGGGACCUGCAGGGGCCCUGUGACAGGCACGUGGGGGCAUCUGAGGGGUUCGUGGGGAGGCCCUGUGGGGGGCUUCAGUGCCCGGCCCAUCUGAGCCCAGCCUUCGUGUGUCCGGGGAAGGUACCAGGCCUGUGAGUGGAGGAGGCUCGUGUGAUCACGUGGUGGUCACGUGCGGGCCGUACAGGAAGCGCGUAAGGGAGGCAAUUUGGAGGGUUCGUGGGGGGCACAUGGGUCUAAUGUGGGGUGACGGGGCUGUGUGGCAGGCACAUGGGGUACGUGGGAGGUAUGUGGGGGCUGUGUAUGGGGCACGUGAUGGUCACUGCCGAGCGCUUGUGGGGGUUGUGGGGUUCAUGUGGGGGGCACGUAGGGGCUCGAGGGGGACUCACACCUGUGUGCCACAUGUUGGGCGUGUGGGGGGCACGCGGAGGGCAUUUGGGGAGGUCGCGUGGAGAAGCAUUGUUGGGGGCCCCGGUGCCCUGCCUUGUGAGCCUCUGGCGGGGGCAUCAGGCCUGUGAGUGAAGGUCGUUCAGGGCCUCGCCCUUUGGCUGACCUAGGCUUUCGCAGCUGAAACCCCAACGGCACAGGGCAGAGAAGCCCUGCGCGGGCGCUGUCCGGUCCCGGCCGCGGAGACCCUGCCACCGGAAGGAGAUAGGUGCUGUUUUUCAGUACUAGACUCCGGCCGUCUCUUACACGCCCAAGUGGCUCGAGUGGGGCGACGUGUCCUUUCAAGUCCUUACAACCGACUUGAGAGGAAGUGCCCUUGCCUCCUGUUUACAGGAGAGAUUUUGCUCAUCAGGUCUGACGGCCAGGAUGGAUUCACCGCCCACAGCCUCUGGCCGUCUGGCCCCUGGCAGUUUCCCUGCUGGUUUUGGUUGUAGAAUCCCAGCCCACGUGGGGGCGGCAGGGUGCCCCGCUGACGGACCCCGGCCUGUCCCAUCCCUGCUGUGCCUCACGCUCUACGUCGGUGAUUCCGUACCCGAUGCUCUUCUCAUCAGGGUGGGCCCUGGGCUGGAGUCCCGGGGACCACCUGCCAGUCUGUCCCAAGGGCCGGUUGGACGUCCAGAGGUUGGUCACCCUAGAAACGCUAGGUGGCAUUCACAGAGGCAGUGCGGCAGGGUGAUCGGGACCCAGCCCGCCCAGGGUGGCCCCGGUUCCACGACUUUCUAGCUGCGGGCAAGGCGUCAGCCGGGCCCCCCCUCUGUCUCGUCCGUCAGGCGGUGGCGAUCGGACACAGGCCUUGACCUUGCCCUGGGUGUAAAGCCGGUAGCUGGUGCCAGCUCUUGUGGAGUCAGCCUCCAGGGUGGCCGAUCGCCAGCCUGCAGCGGAUAGGGCUGACCUGCGUGGCCAGGAGGGCAGGGCCGAGGUGACAGUGAUGCCCCCAUCUUGCUCUGUCCUGGGUCCCUCACGGGGAAGCUAAGUGAUUUCGACACGGCCGUGUGCGAGCCCCGGAGGGAGGCCUCGGGAGGAACGAGCCCUGCCCCGCGCCGGCGUCUGGGACGUCCGGCCUCCAGGAUGGGGGGGGAUCCGCGGCUGUUUGGGAGCCGAGGUCCGUGGGGCUUUGACCGGCCCCCUGGUGAUCGAGCACAUGUGCUUAUCAUCAUGUUAAGCCAUCGCGUCCUGGGGUCACUUGGGCAGCCAGGGUGGCGGGCACAGCUGUGAGGGGUGGCAGUGGCCAGGCCACGCCGAGCGCUUCCCGACAGCGCUAGUCACAGGAACCUGCGAAGGCUGCCGCUACUGUCCCCGUCUCGCAGGGGCUCAGGGGGCCAGCACCGGACUCAAGUCCUCAUCGGCCUUAGGAGGGGCCGGCCUCGGACACAGUCCCUGUCCCGAGCUGGCCUGAACGCACACAGAAGCGUUCCUCUUUGGGUGUCGGCUCUCCGGCGGGCCGGAGCAGGGGAGACAGGCAGACGGGUCCUCUGUUCUCGGUGGGCUUGCUUCCUCCAGCAGUUAGGGAGAAGGGAUGGGGUCUCACUCACCUGUCCUCCCCUCCUCACUGUCCCCGGGCUGGCCGGCUCUCUCCCGUCUUCCCAAGUCCGGGGCAGGCUUGAGCUGGGCAUCAGUCUCAGUGUGGCCAGGGCAGGGAGGCCCUCUGCCCGCAGGCCCCCAUCCCACCCUCGGGCUGAAGCUCCUGAGGGUGGAAAACUGUUUCCUCCUGUGUCCCGGGUGCCUGGCACACAGCAGGGCCCGGUGUGGACUGGCCGGCUGGCGGAUGAAAGUGCCUGGUUCGCGCUGAGCAUUCCAAACCAGAAGCCUGGAGGCCUGGCGUCGUCCGGUGACAGCCAUGGGCACGUAGGGCAUUUAGCCCUCCCGGCUCCAGCCUGGGCCCCGUGCACACCGCCCUCGAGCAGGGCGGCAGGGGGCUGCUGGAGGGAGGCGGGUUAGGCCGGGCGCUGGGGAAGCACACAGGCCACCUCUGAGGACCUUGUGAGUGACGCGGGGGCCUGCCCAGGGCUGCUGGGUUAUGGUUUAUCGAUGACACGGUUGCCCCGAUGUCACAAGUGCCCUGGCCCCAAGCUACGAGAGGCGGCUGCUCCACAUUCGGAUGAAUCUCUUCACCUUCCUAAGUGCUCAGCCUUCGUCUGCGAGCUGGGGAGGUAGUGUGGCCCCAGCGGCAAAGCCUUUAGCCGAGGCCAGGGCAGAAUCCGUGCCCAAUAAAUGCCACGCCGCCACCGGGAAGCAGGUAAAUGGCUGUGAACCAACACGGUCUUAGCGCGCAGACAGGGGCUCGGCCUCUCAGCGCAGUAAGGCGGAGGCCACGCAGCCCAGCUUCUCGGUGGCCCGCCCCCCUCCCUGGGCAGCAGGCCUUAUGCCUGCUUACUUAUUGGAUGUGCCCUCCUAAAACCCAGGCCCAGGCCACGAAGGGGGCACCGGAGGCUCGCUUUCGAGGCUGGUGCUCACACGGGGCCCGGCCCCUUGUAGCCACCGCGUCCCCGGGCCCAGGCCGUAUUUUCCCCUGUGCUAAUUUCACAAAGACAUGCUCCUACUCCUGUUGAUUGAACAGUUCUGUGCUGACAGUGGAGAAGAUUUGCUGCAGAGUUUAUCAUAACCCCAGAGCAUGGGCGGUUUGUCUGGCUCUCAGGAGCUCGGGAGGGAGGCGGAUAUAUUUUACGGCGCGCCAGGAAGACAGACAGACGCAUUUAUGUGUCACUUGUUGCGAUACAAAUGCUAACUUGUACUCCUUCCAAAACUUUUAAUGAAUUGUAUAUGUUCCGCGAGAUUUAUAGGGUGAGCGGAAUGGCUCAAAAUGUUACUUUUAACAUAUUUGUCACUUAGGCAACAGCACCAAAAAAAAAAUCUGGAAGAUAUUGCAUUCAGAAAUAAAUCACAAAUAGCUGCAUUUUAAAAGAGGUUUAUUUUGGCCGUUAAUGGUUGAUGAGCCCCCCAGUGCAGGAUUUAAAGUUAAAUUAUGCAAGAUCAAAAACAAACCUUAUAAUACUUAAUCAAACAUGCAUAAAACUGGCAGGUCCAAUAAAUUCUCCCAAUUAACUUG